GUCAUUUGUGAUGAAAAACUACAGCGAAAAUGAAUGAAAAUGAUUAUAUUUUUCAUGCACUACCAUCUGAAAUUAC
Molecule: non-coding RNA, 76 nt
Organism: Paramuricea clavata
Lineage: Eukaryota; Metazoa; Cnidaria; Anthozoa; Malacalcyonacea; Plexauridae
Source: the annotation of a GenBank genome assembly